UGCUGGAGGUAUCAGAAGUGCGAAUGCUGACAUAAGUAACGAUAAUGCGGGUGAAAAACCCGCACGCCGGAAGACCAAGGGUUCCUGUCCAACGUUAAUCGGGGCAGGGUGAGUCGACCCCUAAGGCGAGGCUGAAAAGCGUAGUCGAUGGGAAACAGGUUAAUAUUCCUGUACUUGGUGUUACUGCGAAGGGGGGACGGAGAAGGCUAGGCUGGCCGGGCGACGGUUGUCCCGGUUCAAGCGUGUAGGGGUGUAGUCCUGGUAAAUCCGGAUUACUUUAACCCUGAGGCGUGAUAACGAGCCACUACGGUGGUGAAGUAGCUGAUGCCCUGCUUCCAGGAAAAGCCUCUAAGCUCCAGGUAACACGAAAUCGUACCCCAAACCGACACAGGUGGUCAGGUAGAGAAUACUCAGGCGCUUGAGAGAACUCGGGUGAAGGAACUAGGCAAAAUGGUGCCGUAACUUCGGGAGAAGGCACGCUGGCGCGUAGGUGAAGAGACUUGCUCUCGGAGCCGAAGCCAGUCGCAGAUACCAGCUGGCUGCAACUGUUUAAUAAAAACACAGCACUGUGCAAACACGAAAGUGGACGUAUACGGUGUGACGCCUGCCCGGUGCCGGAAGGUUAAUUGAUGGGGUUAUCCGCAAGGAGAAGCUCUUGAUCGAAGCCCCGGUAAACGGCGGCCGUAACUAUAACGGUCCUAAGGUAGCGAAAUUCCUUGUCGGGUAAGUUCCGACCUGCACGAAUGGCGUAAUGAUGGCCAGGCUGUCUCCACCCGAGACUCAGUGAAAUUGAACUCGCUGUGAAGAUGCAGUGUACCCGCGGCAAGACGGAAAGACCCCGUGAACCUUUACUAUAGCUUGACACUGAACAUUGAGCCUUGAUGUGUAGGAUAGGUGGGAGGCUUUGAAGCGUGGACGCCAGUCUGCGUGGAGCCAUCCUUGAAAUACCACCCUUUAAUGUUUGAUGUUCUAACUCGGCCCCGUGAUCCGGGGUGAGGACAGUGUCUGGUGGGUAGUUUGACUGGGGCGGUCUCCUCCUAAAGAGUAACGGAGGAGCACGAAGGUUAGCUAAUCACGGUCGGACAUCGUGAGGUUAGUGCAAUGGCAUAAGCUAGCUUGACUGCGAGAGUGACGGCUCGAGCAGGUACGAAAGUAGGUCAUAGUGAUCCGGUGGUUCUGAAUGGAAGGGCCAUCGCUCAACGGAUAAAAGGUACUCCGGGGAUAACAGGCUGAUACCGCCCAAGAGUUCAUAUCGACGGCGGUGUUUGGCACCUCGAUGUCGGCUCAUCACAUCCUGGGGCUGAAGUAGGUCCCAAGGGUAUGGCUGUUCGCCAUUUAAAGUGGUACGCGAGCUGGGUUUAGAACGUCGUGAGACAGUUCGGUCCCUAUCUGCCGUGGGCGUUGGAAGAUUGAGAGGGGCUGCUCCUAGUACGAGAGGACCGGAGUGGACGCAUCACUGGUGUUCGGGUUGUCAUGCCAAUGGCAUUGCCCGGUAGCUAAAUGCGGAAAAGAUAAGCGCUGAAAGCAUCUAAGCGCGAAACUUGCCUCGAGAUGAGUCUUCCCUGUGGCUUUAAGCCACCUGAAGGGACGUUUAAGACUAAGACGUUGAUAGGCUGGGUGUGUAAGUGCAGCGAUGCAUUGAGCUAACCAGUACUAAUGACCCGAGAGGCUUAACCUUACAACACCGAAGGUGUUU
RNAcentral lists this ribosomal RNA (1696 nucleotides) under Ewingella americana. Its description in RNAcentral is "partial 23S ribosomal RNA". It matches the Rfam family "Bacterial large subunit ribosomal RNA", at positions 1271 to 2925 of the family's 2925-position model. The record is from RNAcentral. Lineage: Bacteria; Pseudomonadati; Pseudomonadota; Gammaproteobacteria; Enterobacterales; Yersiniaceae.